Molecule: ribosomal RNA, 404 nt
Filed under: uncultured bacterium
Lineage: Bacteria
Description: bacterial SSU rRNA
Rfam family: Bacterial small subunit ribosomal RNA
Source: RNAcentral
GGGGGGAUAACGAUCCGGAAACGGGUGCUAAUACCGCAUAGUUUUCUUGAUCGCAUGAUCGGGAAAGGAAAGACGGCCUUUGUGCUGUCGCUUAUGGAUGGACCCGCGGCGUAUUAGUUAGUUGGUGAGGUAACGGCUACACCAAGACGAUGAUACGUAGCCGACCUGAGAGGGUGAUCGGCCACAUUGGGACUGAGACACGGCCCAAACUCCUACGGGAGGCAGGCAGUAGGGAAUCUUCCGCAAUGGACGAAAGUCUGACGGAGCAACGCCGCGUGAGUGAAGAAGGGUUUUUUCCGGAUCGUAAAACUCUGUUGUCAGAGAAGAACAAGUUGGAGAGUAACUGCUCCAGCCUUGACGGUAUCUGACCAGAAAGCCACGGCUAACUACGUGCCAGCAGCAGC